This 2900-nucleotide ribosomal RNA is filed under the name Escherichia coli. RNAcentral's name for it is "bacterial LSU rRNA". It matches the Rfam family "Bacterial large subunit ribosomal RNA". The record is from RNAcentral. Lineage: Bacteria; Pseudomonadati; Pseudomonadota; Gammaproteobacteria; Enterobacterales; Enterobacteriaceae.
UUAAGCGACUAAGCGUACACGGUGGAUGCCCUGGCAGUCAGAGGCGAUGAAGGACGUGCUAAUCUGCGAUAAGCGUCGGUAAGGUGAUAUGAACCGUUAUAACCGGCGAUUUCCGAAUGGGGAAACCCAGUGUGUUUCGACACACUAUCAUUAACUGAAUCCAUAGGUUAAUGAGGCGAACCGGGGGAACUGAAACAUCUAAGUACCCCGAGGAAAAGAAAUCAACCGAGAUUCCCCCAGUAGCGGCGAGCGAACGGGGAGCAGCCCAGAGCCUGAAUCAGUGUGUGUGUUAGUGGAAGCGUCUGGAAAGGCGCGCGAUACAGGGUGACAGCCCCGUACACAAAAAUGCACAUAUUGUGAGCUCGAUGAGUAGGGCGGGACACGUGGUAUCCUGUCUGAAUAUGGGGGGACCAUCCUCCAAGGCUAAAUACUCCUGACUGACCGAUAGUGAACCAGUACCGUGAGGGAAAGGCGAAAAGAACCCCGGCGAGGGGAGUGAAAAAGAACCUGAAACCGUGUACGUACAAGCAGUGGGAGCCUCUUUUAUGGGGUGACUGCGUACCUUUUGUAUAAUGGGUCAGCGACUUAUAUUCUGUAGCAAGGUUAACCGAAUAGGGGAGCCGAAGGGAAACCGAGUCUUAACUGGGCGUUAAGUUGCAGGGUAUAGACCCGAAACCCGGUGAUCUAGCCAUGGGCAGGUUGAAGGUUGGGUAACACUAACUGGAGGACCGAACCGACUAAUGUUGAAAAAUUAGCGGAUGACUUGUGGCUGGGGGUGAAAGGCCAAUCAAACCGGGAGAUAGCUGGUUCUCCCCGAAAGCUAUUUAGGUAGCGCCUCGUGAAUUCAUCUCCGGGGGUAGAGCACUGUUUCGGCAAGGGGGUCAUCCCGACUUACCAACCCGAUGCAAACUGCGAAUACCGGAGAAUGUUAUCACGGGAGACACACGGCGGGUGCUAACGUCCGUCGUGAAGAGGGAAACAACCCAGACCGCCAGCUAAGGUCCCAAAGUCAUGGUUAAGUGGGAAACGAUGUGGGAAGGCCCAGACAGCCAGGAUGUUGGCUUAGAAGCAGCCAUCAUUUAAAGAAAGCGUAAUAGCUCACUGGUCGAGUCGGCCUGCGCGGAAGAUGUAACGGGGCUAAACCAUGCACCGAAGCUGCGGCAGCGACACUAUGUGUUGUUGGGUAGGGGAGCGUUCUGUAAGCCUGUGAAGGUGUGCUGUGAGGCAUGCUGGAGGUAUCAGAAGUGCGAAUGCUGACAUAAGUAACGAUAAAGCGGGUGAAAAGCCCGCUCGCCGGAAGACCAAGGGUUCCUGUCCAACGUUAAUCGGGGCAGGGUGAGUCGACCCCUAAGGCGAGGCCGAAAGGCGUAGUCGAUGGGAAACAGGUUAAUAUUCCUGUACUUGGUGUUACUGCGAAGGGGGACGGAGAAGGCUAUGUUGGCCGGGCGACGGUUGUCCCGGUUUAAGCGUGUAGGCUGGUUUUCCAGGCAAAUCCGGAAAAUCAAGGCUGAGGCGUGAUGACGAGGCACUACGGUGCUGAAGCAACAAAUGCCCUGCUUCCAGGAAAAGCCUCUAAGCAUCAGGUAACAUCAAAUCGUACCCCAAACCGACACAGGUGGUCAGGUAGAGAAUACCAAGGCGCUUGAGAGAACUCGGGUGAAGGAACUAGGCAAAAUGGUGCCGUAACUUCGGGAGAAGGCACGCUGAUAUGUAGGUGAAGUCCCUCGCGGAUGGAGCUGAAAUCAGUCGAAGAUACCAGCUGGCUGCAACUGUUUAUUAAAAACACAGCACUGUGCAAACACGAAAGUGGACGUAUACGGUGUGACGCCUGCCCGGUGCCGGAAGGUUAAUUGAUGGGGUCAGCGCAAGCGAAGCUCUUGAUCGAAGCCCCGGUAAACGGCGGCCGUAACUAUAACGGUCCUAAGGUAGCGAAAUUCCUUGUCGGGUAAGUUCCGACCUGCACGAAUGGCGUAAUGAUGGCCAGGCUGUCUCCACCCGAGACUCAGUGAAAUUGAACUCGCUGUGAAGAUGCAGUGUACCCGCGGCAAGACGGAAAGACCCCGUGAACCUUUACUAUAGCUUGACACUGAACAUUGAGCCUUGAUGUGUAGGAUAGGUGGGAGGCUUAGAAGUGUGGACGCCAGUCUGCAUGGAGCCGACCUUGAAAUACCACCCUUUAAUGUUUGAUGUUCUAACGUUGACCCGUGAUCCGGGUUGCGGACAGUGUCUGGUGGGUAGUUUGACUGGGGCGGUCUCCUCCUAAAGAGUAACGGAGGAGCACGAAGGUUGGCUAAUCCUGGUCGGACAUCAGGAGGUUAGUGCAAUGGCAUAAGCCAGCUUGACUGCGAGCGUGACGGCGCGAGCAGGUGCGAAAGCAGGUCAUAGUGAUCCGGUGGUUCUGAAUGGAAGGGCCAUCGCUCAACGGAUAAAAGGUACUCCGGGGAUAACAGGCUGAUACCGCCCAAGAGUUCAUAUCGACGGCGGUGUUUGGCACCUCGAUGUCGGCUCAUCACAUCCUGGGGCUGAAGUAGGUCCCAAGGGUAUGGCUGUUCGCCAUUUAAAGUGGUACGCGAGCUGGGUUUAGAACGUCGUGAGACAGUUCGGUCCCUAUCUGCCGUGGGCGCUGGAGAACUGAGGGGGGCUGCUCCUAGUACGAGAGGACCGGAGUGGACGCAUCACUGGUGUUCGGGUUGUCAUGCCAAUGGCACUGCCCGGUAGCUAAAUGCGGAAGAGAUAAGUGCUGAAAGCAUCUAAGCACGAAACUUGCCCCGAGAUGAGUUCUCCCUGACCCUUUAAGGGUCCUGAAGGAACGUUGAAGACGACGACGUUGAUAGGCCGGGUGUGUAAGCGCAGCGAUGCGUUGAGCUAACCGGUACUAAUGAACCGUGAGGCUUAACCUU